Long non-coding RNA from Cherax quadricarinatus, 832 nucleotides. RefSeq lists it as uncharacterized. Lineage: Eukaryota; Metazoa; Arthropoda; Malacostraca; Decapoda; Parastacidae. The record is from RefSeq and is a predicted model, not a curated record.
GUGUAACUUGCAUGUGCUUUCUCAACUUUUCUGGUUCUUUAGAUGAAAACAAAAAAUAUUUGUCGAGGCUGUCAACACCAGAGAAUCUUCUAUGCCAUGACCAUAUCUGCGCCUCCUCUCCAGAGAUGUCACCCUGCCUCGGUGUGAGGCGGCCGAUGCGCUGAGAUAAUGAUAAUAAUAAUAAUGAAGUGCGCAAGAUUCAAACAGACUGUUGAGUAUGGUCUGGAGAGCCUCGGAGUCGAGAAGAGAUAAGAGGACAGGUUCAGGCAUGACCUACUUCCACUAGUUGGUUCCAUCCAUCACUGACGUGACUGCUGCACCUCGUCUGACUCCAGUAUAUGAGAGUCCAUCUUCCCGCCUAUGCUUCAGAUCUAUAAUCACCGGUUUCCAGGCUGCGGGACUGAUCACCUCAUUUUCCACUGUCUUCUGUGUAUAGUUCUGAAUGAUCACUUCAUCUUCCACUGUCUCCAGUUUCAACACCUCCAAUUACCUCUGUAUUGAAUUGAUAAAACAUGAUAACGUCACUGGUGGUUGGAAAGUCUUCAUACAAAAGGUGUCCAGAUGGUGCAUGUGUGUCAAAUCUCUUAGCUUGAAAAAUAUACUAUUGCUGCUUAUGCUACUACUAUUUCUAUUCCCUUCUUUCCCCCACCCCUUAUCGUAUGCUAUUUAAGUCUUUUAUGCUUUCCUCGCCUCAGUUAUGAUUUGCCAAUGAUUCCGGACGGACCGAAAUUUCGUCAAAGUUCUCCCAGGUGUGGGUUUUAUCAGCGCUCGCAGAAUGAGCUGCUUAUUCGCAAACUAGCCGCUGCUGGAAGCAAUAAAGCAUUUCUCAACA